Molecule: long non-coding RNA, 2011 nt
Filed under: Canis lupus familiaris (dog)
Lineage: Eukaryota; Metazoa; Chordata; Mammalia; Carnivora; Canidae
Description: lncRNA (ENSCAFG00040005922.1)
Source: RNAcentral
CAGCCUUCUUCCUGGUAUCAAUUAAAUAUCUUUGUUUGCAAGCUGCACAAAACAAAGUUUGCAAGUCUGCCCAACCAAAGUCAAAAAAAGAAUUUGGUUAAAAGAAGUUGGGUGUCUCAAGGAAUAGAAGAAAAAGGUGAUCCAGCAGGCCUUGGGAAGGACAGAAGGCAAAGAGUCUCUAAAGAGACCCUAAGGUCUCUAAAAAGAGACCUUUUUAGUCUCUUUAGGACACUGAGGACAGAGGUGUCUGGGUGGCUGAGUCUGUUAAAUGUCUGACUCUUGGUUUUGAGUCAGGUCACCAUCUCAGGAGAGUAGGAUUCAGCUCCGGGUCCCCUCAUCACCAGUCUGCUUGAGAUUCUUUCCCUCCCCUCUGCUCCUCCCUCCUCCUUUGCUCUCUCUCUCUGUCUCUGAAAGAAGGAAAGCAAGAAAGCAAGAAAGAAAGGAAGGAAGAAAGGAAGAAAGAAAGUCAAAAAAAAAAAGAAGAAGAAAAAGACAUUAAGGACAGAGUGAAAAAAAAAAAGGACAUUGUGGCUCCGUCCACCUGCCUCAAGCUAGUGCCUGGUUCUGCAGGAGUGGAGUCCCUGCCUGCUUGAGUCAUGUGCCUGCCUUUGGGGGUGGGGCCUAAUUGUGAUUGGCAGUUCCACCGGGACCACCUACAAUGAGGGGGCAAAGGAGAUGAUGGAAUCAGGUGGGGAGAAAGGGCUCUGUGCAGAGAAAAGCAAAGAUGCCUGCAGGACUCCUGAGACCCUGGGCCUCUCACUGCAUUUUCCUCCCUCCCCGGGGGGUUAUCAUCAUCUGGACACCGGUCCCCCUUCCAGGCCCGGGCUUAGGUGACAUCUCCUCCCCGCAGCCCUUCCUGAAGGCCAUGCAGAGGACACGAGAUCAGGCCAUGAAGGGCUGUCAGCCCGGUGCCUGCAGCAAGUGUGGAGCUCGGGAAAUAGUAAGAUGAUGAUGGUGAUGAUGAUGAUGACGACGACAGCUUCUCUGCUACAAGGAACAAGUCGACACCAGGAGAGAGAAGACGUUGCUUCGACAUUGGGCUCUGUUCCUUCUGCUCGCCUCCCCCCGGCCACCCUCCACCAGGGAAGUUAAAAUCUGCCACAGGGGGUCCUGGCCUGGCUCAAGCGCUGGGGUCCUGGCCUGCCCGCGUGCUCCACCCCCACGAGGGGAAGUGCAGGGAGCUCCUGAGACACCAGCUGCCUCCCCAGUGACCAGGUAAGGAGCAAGGGAAGGAGGGGCGGCAUUUGUGGGAGCCUCCCGUGGGCACGGCAUCCUGCAGAGAACUCUCCACCCUUCACUUCCUUUCUGUCUGGUCCCAAACUCUGAGAGGUAGUUCCAAUCAUGCCCCUAUUAUGGAUGACAAAGCCCAGCCCAGAGAGGUGACAGGACUGGCCAAGGUCACACAGCCCCUAAGUGGCAGAGCAAACAUCAAGUCAGAGACCCUGGCACUGUCAAGCACAUGUGUCACUGUGUGAAAACUCUAAAGCCAACCACAUUUCCCGAAGGCCUGAAACUCUCCUCCAGGUCCGAGACCUCCCCAAACCCCCGCCCUCCCCGGAGCCUCAGCUGGGGACACCGCUGCCAGCCGCCUGGCUGGAUCUCCCUGCCUGGCUUGUUCCCCCCGCCGCCCCAGUCCUCGGUUUCCUGCCCCAGGUACACAUAGGCAGGACCCGCCAGGGGCCCCAUCCUGGGAUGGAGAUGGCUCACCAAAGAAAUUAUCUCCGAAACCCGGCCCUUCCCGGGAAACACCCUUCUGCUGCUGCGGGAAGAGCUGGGGAAUCAAAGCUCAUUUCCAGUUGUUUAGACUUAGCUCCUCAGUGACUCACCGUUUGGGCUCCCAUGACCCAGGCCGGGAGCCAGGGGCUGUCAGGAGGUGCCCUCGUUAAAAUCAAAAGGUAGUGGUGAGCAAAGGGGAGCCCCCUCUCUGGAGACCAUGACUCAUGGCUGCUGGGUGAUCCCAGCCAGGUGCACUCGCCGCCCCCCCAAGUCUCGUCUAGGGGGGUGAGUUCCA